UACGGGGGGUGCAAGCGUUACUCGGAAUCAUUGGGCGUAAAGGGCGCGUAGGCGGCCAAGUAAGUCAGGUGUGAAAGCCCGGGGCUCAACCUCGGAAGUGCAUUUGAUACUGCUUGGCUUGAGUAUGGGAGAGGGAAGUGGAAUUCCUGGUGUAGAGGUGAAAUUCGUAGAUAUCAGGAGGAACACCGGUGGCGAAGGCGACUUCCUGGACCAAUACUGACGCUGAGGCGCGAAGGCGUGGGGAGCAAACAGG
RNAcentral lists this ribosomal RNA (253 nucleotides) under uncultured bacterium. RNAcentral's name for it is "partial 16S ribosomal RNA". It matches the Rfam family "Bacterial small subunit ribosomal RNA", at positions 524 to 776 of the family's 1533-position model. The record is from RNAcentral.